GUGGGGAAUCUUCCGCAAUGGACGAAAGUCUGACGGAGCAACGCCGCGUGAGUGAUGAAGGUCUUCGGAUUGUAAAGCUCUGUUAAUCGGGACGAAAGAGCCUAGUGUGAAUAAUGCUAGGAAGUGACGGUACCGGAAUAGAAAGCCACGGCUAACUACGUGCCAGCAGCCGCGGUAAUACGUAGGUGGCAAGCGUUGUCCGGAAUUAUUGGGCGUAAAGUGCGCGCAGGCGGAUCUGCCAGUCUGUCUUAAAAGUUCGGGGCUUAACCCCGUGAUGGGAUGGAAACUACAGAUCUAGAGUAUCGGAGAGGAAAGUGGAAUUCCUAGUGUAGCGGUGAAAUGCGUAGAUAUUAGGAAGAACACCAGUGGCGAAGGCGACUUUCUGGACGAAAACUGACGCUGAGGCGCGAAAGCCAGGGGAGCGAACGGGAUUAGAUACCCCGGUAGUCC
RNAcentral lists this ribosomal RNA (450 nucleotides) under uncultured bacterium. Its description in RNAcentral is "partial 16S ribosomal RNA". It matches the Rfam family "Bacterial small subunit ribosomal RNA", at positions 354 to 796 of the family's 1533-position model. The record is from RNAcentral.